CUCCGGUGAUCCUGCCGGACCCGACUGCUAUCAGAGUGGGACUAAGCCAUGCGAGUCAACAUAGCAAUAUGUGGCAUACGGCUCAGUAACACGUAGUCAACAUGCCCAGGGGACGUGGAUAACCUCGGGAAACUGAGGAUAAACCGCGAUAGGUCAUCACUUCUGGAAUGGGUAAUGACUUAAAUCUAUAUGGCCCCUGGAUUGGACUGCGGCCGAUCAGGCUGUUGGUGAGGUAAUGGCCCACCAAACCUGUAACCGGUACGGGCUCUGAGAGGAGGAGCCCGGAGAUGGGCACUGAGACAAGGGCCCAGGCCCUAUGGGGCGCAGCAGGCGCGAAACCUCUGCAAUAGGCGAAAGCUUGACAGGGUUACUCUGAGUGAUUUCCGUUAAGGAGAUCUUUUGGCACCUCUAAAAAUGGUGCAGAAUAAGGGGUGGGCAAGUCUGGUGUCAGCCGCCGCGGUAAUACCAGCACCUCGAGUGGUCAGGAGGUUUAUUGGGCCUAAAGCAUCCGUAGCCGGCUACGCAAGUCUCCGGUUAAAUCCAGCUGCUCAACAGAUGGGCUGCCGGAGAUACUACAUAGCUAGGGAGCGGGAGAGGUAGACGGUAUUCUGUGGGUAGGGGUAAAAUCCACUGAUCCAUAGAGGACCACCAGUGGCGAAGGCGGUCUACCAGAACGCGUUCGACGGUGAGGGAUGAAAGCUGGGGGAGCAAACCGGAUUAGAUACCCGGGUAGUCCCAGCUGUAAACGAUGCAAACUCGGUGAUGCAUUGGCUUAUGGCCAAUGCAGUGCCGCAGGGAAGCCGUUAAGUUUGCCGCCUGGGAAGUACGGACGCAAGUCUGAAACUUAAAGGAAUUGGCGGGGGAGCA
This 867-nucleotide ribosomal RNA is filed under the name uncultured archaeon. RNAcentral's name for it is "bacterial SSU rRNA". It matches the Rfam family "Archaeal small subunit ribosomal RNA", at positions 1 to 878 of the family's 1478-position model. The record is from RNAcentral.